This 1919-nucleotide ribosomal RNA is filed under the name Clostridium botulinum. RNAcentral's name for it is "partial 23S ribosomal RNA". It matches the Rfam family "Bacterial large subunit ribosomal RNA", at positions 1 to 1934 of the family's 2925-position model. Lineage: Bacteria; Bacillati; Bacillota; Clostridia; Eubacteriales; Clostridiaceae. The record is from RNAcentral.
AGGUCAAGCUACAAAGGGCGCAUGGUGAAUGCCUUGGCAUCAGGAGCCGAUGAAGGACGCGAUAAGCUGCGAUAAGCUUCGGGUAGACGCACAUAGUCAGAGAUCCGAAGAUUUCCGAAUGAGGAAACUCACAUGGGAAACCCCAUGUAUCGUAAAGUGAAUACAUAGCUUUAUGAAGGUAAACCCAGGGAACUGAAACAUCUAAGUACCUGGAGGAAGAGAAAGAAAAAUCGAUUUUCUUAGUAGCGGCGAGCGAAAGGGAAAGAGCCCAAACCAAAGAUUUAUCUUUGGGGUUGCGGACAGAACAUUAACGAGAAAUUAUGGUUAACCGAACACAACUGGAAAGUUGGACCGUAGGGGGUAAUAGUCCUGUAGGUGAAAAUUAUAAUUAUCAAGUUCUGAUCCAGAGUACCACGAGACACGUGAAACCUUGUGGGAAGCAGGGAGGACCACCUCCCAAGGCUAAAUACUACCUGAUGACCGAUAGUGAAGCAGUACCGUGAGGGAAAGGUGAAAAGAACCCCGGGAGGGGAGUGAAAUAGAACCUGAAACCAUGUGCCUACAACCGAUCAAAGCACCUUAUGUGUGUGAUGAUGUGCUUUUUGUAGAACGAGCCAACGAGUUACGGUAUGUAGCAAGGUUAAGUACUUAAGGUACGGAGCCGAAGGGAAACCGAGUCUUAAUAGGGCGACUAGUUGCAUGCUGUAGACCCGAAACCGGGUGACCUAUCCAUGGCCAGGUUGAAGCGAGGGUAAAACCUCGUGGAGGACCGAACCACGUUGCUGUUGAAAAAGCAUGGGAUGAGCUGUGGAUAGCGGAGAAAUUCCAAUCGAACUCGGAUAUAGCUGGUUCUCCUCGAAAUAGCUUUAGGGCUAGCGUCGGAAAAUGUGAGUACUGGGGGUAGAGCACUGAAUGGGCUAGGGGGCAUAGCGCUUACCGAACCUUAUCAAACUCCGAAUACCAGAUACUAUCAGUCCGGCAGUCAGACUGCGAAAGAUAAGUUCCGUAGUCAAAAGGGAAACAGCCCAGAUCGUCAGCUAAGGUCCCAAAGUGUAAGUUAAGUGGAAAAGGAUGUGGGAUUUCUAAGACAACUAGGAUGUUGGCUUAGAAGCAGCCACUCAUUAAAAGAGUGCGUAAUAGCUCACUAGUCAAGAGAUCCUGCGCCGAAAAUGUCCGGGGCUCAAACUUACCACCGAAGCUACGGGUUCACACAUUAGUGUGAGCGGUAGAGGAGCGUCGUAAUCGGGCUGAAGUCGUACCGUAAGGAGCGGUGGACUGAUUACGAGUGAGAAUGUUGGCAUUAGUAGCGAGAUGUGGGUGAGAAUCCCACAGGCCGAAUACCUAAGGUUUCCUCAGGAAGGUUCGUCCGCUGAGGGUUAGUCGGGACCUAAGCUGAGGCCGAAAGGCGUAAGCGAUGGACAAUCGGUUGAUAUUCCGAUACCACUAUUAUCGUUAUUAUCGAUGGUGUGACGGAGAAGGAUAGGAUGUGCUAGCUAUUGGAUGCUAGUCUAAGCGUUUAGGGAGUUAGAAUAGGCAAAUCCGUUCUAACAAUUCUGAGGCGUGAUGGGGAAGGUUCUAAGGAACCGAAGUAUCUGAUUCCAUGCUUCCAAGAAAAGCAUCUAGAAAGAGAAAUAGUGCCCGUACCGCAAACCGACACAGGUAGGUGAGGAGAGAAUCCUAAGGCCGGCGGAAGAAUUGCAGUUAAGGAACUAGGCAAAUUGACCCCGUAACUUCGGGAGAAGGGGUGCCUGCGAGAGCAGGCCGCAGAGAAUAGGCACAAGCAACUGUUUAACAAAAACACAGGUCUCUGCUAAAGCGAAAGCUGAUGUAUAGGGGCUGACGCCUGCCCGGUGCUGGAAGGUUAAGGGGAACACUUAGCGUAAGCGAAGGUGUGAACUUAAGCCCCAGUAAACGGCGGC